Long non-coding RNA from Fundulus heteroclitus (mummichog), 1025 nucleotides. RefSeq lists it as uncharacterized. The record is from RefSeq and is a predicted model, not a curated record. The transcript has 2 exons. NCBI's taxonomy places the organism in Eukaryota, Metazoa, Chordata, Actinopteri, Cyprinodontiformes, Fundulidae.
GGAAAACCAUUAAAAACUCAUUAAAUCAGUAAGCCCCAAGCCAUGCUUUGUCUGAGAAUUAUGAAACUCGGUAAGUGCAUGUAACUUCAUAGGCCCUACAAAAAAGCCUCUUGAAGCAAUGGGCUACCUCCUACAGUAAAUCAUUCAUUUCUCAUCAAAGAUGUCAUUUUCCCAUAUUUUUGGGUGUUACAUUUGAAUAAACUACUCCUAAAACGUUACACUUAUGGCAUUCAAAGUUACUCCAAAAAAUUCCUCACACAUAGAGGAUCAAAAGUUAUCAAAAACAUUUUUGCUACGUCCAACCAUAUUUUUUUGACAAUUAUUUAUAACAUGAAUUGUGUUUUGAAGGAAAAAACAUUUAUUAUUUCCAACACUAGAUGGCAACAUUUUUCCAAACCAUUCCUACACAGUCAAACAUAAUUGUAACCAUUCAUACACAUUCGUCCAAAAGUGGAAGCAGCUUUAAAAUAUCUUUAGCUGGCCUUUAAAAUAAAUAAGGAUUUAAGGAUUUAAUCUUAAAUCCUAUAUGUAGGAGCGCAAAUGCAUUGAUUGGGUAAUUAGCGUUCAUGUCUAUUUAAGGGGGGAACUUUUCUUUGAUAGGUAGGUUUUCCACCCGGAAGGGGAAAACAGUUUUUGACCGCAAAAAGAUAAAUACAAGCAAGCAAGUCUGCUUUAUAUGUUGUCUGGAGAUGUGUUCAUGUAUGAUGGACAUUUGACAUGCAAAGAGGAAAAUAAAUGGACGAAGCGUUCAACAUGCCCUGACGACUUGGACUCUAAUUCAUCCCAAAAAGAUAAGACUGGGCUGGAGGUUACGUGUUUGGAGUGGAGCAUCAGCUGAUCGAACUCAGCUCACCUGAGGUGACGUCGGACAGGAUAGACAUCGGUGAGGACGCCGUUGAUCAGCUCGGCGCUGGAUUUGAACAAUCAUUCGUCUGGAUUAGGUAUGUGUAGCGCUACCACCGAUAUGAUGGCCAUCUAAAUAUAGUGUGCACACAUAAGGGCGUAAUUCCAAUGCAUUGGUUGCU